This 549-nucleotide ribosomal RNA is filed under the name uncultured bacterium. RNAcentral describes it as "bacterial SSU rRNA". It matches the Rfam family "Bacterial small subunit ribosomal RNA", at positions 355 to 896 of the family's 1533-position model. The record is from RNAcentral.
UGGGGAAUUUUGGACAAUGGGCGCAAGCCUGAUCCAGCCAUGCCGCGUGUCUGAAGAAGGCCUUCGGGUUGUAAAGGACUUUUGUCAGGGAAGAAAAGGCUGUUGCUAAUAUCAGCGGCUGAUGACGGUACCUGAAGAAUAAGCACCGGCUAGCUACGUGCCAGCAGCCGCGGUAAUACGUAGGGUGCGAGCGUUAAUCGGAAUUACUGGGCGUAAAGCGAGCGCAGACGGUUACUUAAGCAGGAUGUGAAAUCCCCGGGCUCAACCUGGGAACUGCGUUCUGAACUGGGUGACUAGAGUGUGUCAGAGGGAGGUAGAAUUCCACGUGUAGCAGUGAAAUGCGUAGAGAUGUGGAGGAAUACCGAUGGCGAAGGCAGCCUCCUGGGAUAACACUGACGUUCAUGCUCGAAAGCGUGGGUAGCAAACAGGAUUAGAUACCCUGGUAGUCCACGCCCUAAACGAUGUCAAUUAGCUGUUGGGCAACUUGAUUGUUCAGUAGCGUAGCUAACGCGUGAAAUUGACCGCCUGGGGAGUACGGUCGCAAGAUUA